Molecule: transfer RNA, 67 nt
Filed under: Pericoma sp. ZHK-2021
Lineage: Eukaryota; Metazoa; Arthropoda; Insecta; Diptera; Psychodidae
Description: tRNA-Cys
Source: RNAcentral
AGUUUUAUAUUCAAUAAUGAUUUUAGAUUGCAAAUCUAAAGGAGUAAAUUUUUAUUUACUAAAACUA